This 359-nucleotide ribosomal RNA is filed under the name uncultured bacterium. RNAcentral describes it as "bacterial SSU rRNA". It matches the Rfam family "Bacterial small subunit ribosomal RNA", at positions 28 to 381 of the family's 1533-position model. The record is from RNAcentral.
GACGAACGCUGGCGGCGUGCUUAACACAUGCAAGUGGAGCGACGAACCAGGCUUCGGCCUGGGGCAGAGCCGCGAACGGGUGAGUAACACGUGGGUAACCUGCCUCGAUGACCGGGACAACCCGAGGAAACCCGGGCUAAUACCGGAUGUGCUCCUUCACAUCAGUGAAGACAGGAAAGGAAGCUUCGGCCUCCGCAUCGAGAUGGGCCCGCGGCCCAUUAGCUUGUUGGUGAGGAACGGCUCACCAAGGCUGCGAUGGGUAGCUGGUCUGAGAGGACGGAUCAGCCACACUGGGACUGAGACACGGCCCAGACUCCUACGGGAGGCAGCAGUGGGGAAUCUUGCGCAAUGCGCGAAAG